This 65-nucleotide transfer RNA is filed under the name Cotylurus marcogliesei. Its description in RNAcentral is "tRNA-Gly". The record is from RNAcentral. Lineage: Eukaryota; Metazoa; Platyhelminthes; Trematoda; Diplostomida; Strigeidae.
AUAUCGAUAUUAUAUUUUAGUAUGCCUUCUUUCCAAGUAGGUGGUUUCAUUAGUGAAUCGGUAUA